This 253-nucleotide ribosomal RNA is filed under the name uncultured bacterium. Its description in RNAcentral is "partial 16S ribosomal RNA". It matches the Rfam family "Bacterial small subunit ribosomal RNA", at positions 524 to 776 of the family's 1533-position model. The record is from RNAcentral.
UACGUAGGUGGCGAGCGUUGUCCGGAUUUAUUGGGCGUAAAGGGCGCGCAGGUGGUGUGGUGGGUCCGUCGUGAAAUCUCCUGGCUCAACUGGGAGGGUGCGGCGGAGACUGCCAGACUGGAGGCACUCAGAGGCCGGUGGAAUUCCCGGUGUAGUGGUGAAAUGCGUAGAGAUCGGGAGGAACACCGGUGGCGAAGGCGACCAUCUGGACGGAUACUGACGCUGAGACGCGAAAGCGUGGGUAGCAAACAGG